GAGCUCAUCGUCUAAUGGAUAAGACAGCAAUCUUCUAAGUUGUUAAUGAAGGUUCAAUUCCUUCUGAGCCCG
This 72-nucleotide transfer RNA is filed under the name Glaukea argentea. RNAcentral describes it as "tRNA-Arg". It matches the Rfam family "tRNA". Rfam says of the family: Transfer RNA (tRNA) molecules are approximately 80 nucleotides in length. Their secondary structure includes four short double-helical elements and three loops (D, anti-codon, and T loops). Further hydrogen bonds mediate the characteristic L-shaped molecular structure. tRNAs have two regions of fundamental functional importance: the anti-codon, which is responsible for specific mRNA codon recognition, and the 3' end, to which the tRNAs corresponding amino acid is attached (by aminoacyl-tRNA synthetases). tRNAs cope with the degeneracy of the genetic code in two manners: having more than one tRNA (with a specific anti-codon) for a particular amino acid; and 'wobble' base-pairing, i.e. permitting non-standard base-pairing at the 3rd anti-codon position. The record is from RNAcentral. Lineage: Eukaryota; Viridiplantae; Chlorophyta; Ulvophyceae; Bryopsidales; Halimedaceae.